GCCGUGCNAGUAGGCGAACUGGGUGAGUAAUGUAUCGGAACGUGCCCAGUAGCGGGGGAUAACUACGCGAAAGCGUGGCUAAUACCGCAACGCCCUACGGGGGAAAGGGGGGGAUCUUAGGACCUCUCACUAUUGGAGCGGCCGAUAUCGGAUUAGCUAGUUGGUGGGGUAAAGGCCUACCAAGGCGACGAUCCGUAGCUGGUUUGAGAGGACGACCAGCCACACUGGGACUGAGACACGGCCCAGACUCCUACGGGAGGCAGCAGUGGGGAAUUUUGGACAAUGGGGGAAACCCUGAUCCAGCCAUCCCGCGUGUGCGAUGAAGGCCUUCGGGUUGUAAAGCACUUUUGUCAGGGAAGAAAAGGUUUCGGAUAAUACCCGGAACUGAUGACGGUACCUGAAGAAUAAGCACCGGCUAACUACGUGCCAGCAGCCGCGGUAAUACGUAGGGUGCAAGCGUUAAUCGGAAUUACUGGGCGUAAAGCGUGCGCAGGCGGUUCGGAAAGAAAGAUGUGAAAUCCCAGGGCUCAACCUUGGAACUGCAUUUUUAACUACCGAACUAGAGUAUGUCAGAGGGGGGUGGAAUUCCACGUGUAGCAGUGAAAUGCGUAGAUAUGUGGAGGAACACCGAUGGCGAAGGCAGCCCCCUGGGAUAAUACUGACGCUCAUGCACGAAAGCGUGGGGAGCAAACAGGAUUAGAUACCCUGGUAGUCCACGCCCUAAACGAUGUCAACUAGCUGUUGGGCCCUUCGGGGCUUAGUAGCGCAGCUAACGCGUGAAGUUGACCGCCUGGGGAGUACGGUCGCAAGAUUAAAACUCAAAGGAAUUGACGGGGACCCGCACAAGCGGUGGAUGAUGUGGAUUAAUUCGAUGCAACGCGAAAAACCUUACCUACCCUUGACAUGUCUGGAAUCCUGAAGAGAUUUAGGAGUGCUCGCAAGAGAACCGGAACACAGGUGCUGCAUGGCGUCGUCAGCUCGUGUCGUGAGAUGUUGGGUUAAGUCCCGCAACGAGCGCAACCCUUGUCCUUAGUUGCUACAUUUAGUUGAGCACUCUAAUGAGACUGCCGGUGACAAACCGGAGGAAGGUGGGGAUGACGUCAAGUCCUCAUGGCCCUUAUGGGUAGGGCUUCACACGUCAUACAAUGGUCGGGACAGAGGGUUGCCAAACCGCAAGGUGGAGCUAAUCUCAUAAACCCGAUCGUAGUCCGGAUUGCAGGCUGCAACUCGCCUGCAUGAAGUGGAAUCGCUAGUAAUCGCGGAUCAGCAUGUCGCGGUGAAUACGUUCCCGGGUCUUGUACACACCGCCCGUCAAACCAAUGGGAGUGGGGNUUUUC
This 1337-nucleotide ribosomal RNA is filed under the name Advenella mimigardefordensis. RNAcentral's name for it is "bacterial SSU rRNA". It matches the Rfam family "Bacterial small subunit ribosomal RNA", at positions 85 to 1421 of the family's 1533-position model. The record is from RNAcentral. Lineage: Bacteria; Pseudomonadati; Pseudomonadota; Betaproteobacteria; Burkholderiales; Alcaligenaceae.